RNAcentral lists this ribosomal RNA (329 nucleotides) under uncultured eukaryote. RNAcentral describes it as "partial 18S ribosomal RNA". It matches the Rfam family "Eukaryotic small subunit ribosomal RNA", at positions 1470 to 1796 of the family's 1831-position model. The record is from RNAcentral.
CCCUUAGAUGUUCUGGGCCGCACGCGCGCUACAAUGAUGAAUUCAACGAGUUUAUAACCUUGGCUGAAAAGCCUGGGUAAUCUUUUGAACUUUCGUCGUGAUGGGGCUAGACCCUUGCAAUUAUUGGUCUCCAACGAGGAAUUCCUAGUAAACGCAAGUCAUCAGCUUGCAUUGAUUACGUCCCUGCCCUUUGUACACACCGCCCGUCGCACCUACCGAUUGAAUGGUCCGGUGAAAUCUUCGGAUUGAGACUUUGAUUUCUUCACGGAAAACGCUGUUUUAAAAAGUUGAUUAAACCUUACCAUUUAGAGGAAGGUGAAGUCGUAACA